AAACAGUUCUUGGGCAACUCUUAUUUUGACACCAACACAGAAACCAGACUAUCCUCCGCCAUGUUGAAAGUUUACAUCUCCCAACUCGGAAACUGUAUCAGGAACAUGAAGUGCUGAAGUAUUAUACAGAAUACCAGGAGGAGAAUGGGUUGUCAGAACAGACCUACAACAUUGGAGCAUCUCACAGAGACUGGAGCAGACAGGGAAGAAAUUGAGCCCACAUUGCUUGCAUCCAGCUGGGUCAUUAAGAACCACAUCCUGCGCCAAAUCAAACACAGCCCCUGCCCACAGACAGCCGUCUGUCCACU
Myxocyprinus asiaticus (Chinese sucker) is the source of this 308-nucleotide long non-coding RNA. RefSeq lists it as uncharacterized. The transcript is spliced from 3 exons. NCBI's taxonomy places the organism in Eukaryota, Metazoa, Chordata, Actinopteri, Cypriniformes, Catostomidae. The record is from RefSeq and is a predicted model, not a curated record.